UACGUAGGGUGCGAGCGUUGCCCGGAUUUAUUGGGCGUAAAGAGCUCGUAGGCGGCUCGUCGCGUCGACCGUGAAAACCCGCGGCUUAACUGCGGGCUUGCGGUUGAUACGGGCGGGCUAGAGUUCGGUAGGGGAGACUGGAAUUCCUGGUGUAGCGGUGAAAUGCGCAGAUAUCAGGAGGAACACCGGUGGCGAAGGCGGGUCUCUGGGCCGAUACUGACGCUGAGGAGCGAAAGCGUGGGGAGCGAACAGG
RNAcentral lists this ribosomal RNA (253 nucleotides) under uncultured bacterium. Its description in RNAcentral is "partial 16S ribosomal RNA". It matches the Rfam family "Bacterial small subunit ribosomal RNA", at positions 524 to 776 of the family's 1533-position model. The record is from RNAcentral.